Molecule: long non-coding RNA, 530 nt
Filed under: Rattus norvegicus (Norway rat)
Lineage: Eukaryota; Metazoa; Chordata; Mammalia; Rodentia; Muridae
Description: long non-coding RNA NONRATT011226
Source: RNAcentral
AAGUGAAAACUGGGUGAGACCAAUGUCCCUGCCAGUCAUCAGGCAGCAACCAGAGCAAGUUAGCUGGCCGGACGAGCUGGAAAGCAUGUGCAAAAUUACCUCAGCUGCUUUUCCUUCUCCUAAGCACUGCUGGUUCCCAGGAUCCAGUCCUGCAUCUGUCUCACUCCAGACCACAUGUAUUUGAAGCCGCUUCCCGCUCUUGGCCCUUCAGGUGACUCUGGAAACCUUCCCGUUCCUUGGGCCCCUUUCUGCAAACCAAGGGAAGUCCUUGCAACGUUUCAUCUGUUGCUGACCUCAGCCAAGUCCCUUCCAGUCCUUGCACAGUGUGUUCCCUUGAUGACAAGAAGCCUGGAGAAGGUAGCAGCUUUGCUUGCUUCUGCCUGAGACUUUCCAAUCUUUGUUCUUUCCCGGUUCCCCUUCCCAUCUGUCGCUUGACACCGUGCAACUGAUUACCUUUCUCUAACUGCCUUGGAAAACAGCUUGUAGUUUUUUUUUUAAAGUCUUUAAAUAAAAUAAAGCUCCAUUUCUCU